RNAcentral lists this ribosomal RNA (502 nucleotides) under uncultured bacterium. RNAcentral describes it as "bacterial SSU rRNA". It matches the Rfam family "Bacterial small subunit ribosomal RNA", at positions 29 to 515 of the family's 1533-position model. The record is from RNAcentral.
AACGAACGCUGGCGGCGUGCUUAACACAUGCAAGUCGAGCGAGAAAGGGAGCUUCGGCACCUGAGUAAAGCGGCGCACGGGUGAGUAACACGUGGGUAACCUGCCUUUCAGUGGGGGAUAACAGCCCGAAAGGGCUGCUAAUACCGCAUUCGUCCACACGGUCACAUGUCUGUGUGGAGAAAGAGGCGCAAGUCUCGCUGGAAGAUGGGCCCGCGGUCCAUUAGCUAGUUGGUGGGGUAAAGGCCUACCAAGGCGACGAUCCGUAGCUGGUCUGAGAGGAUGAUCAGCCACACUGGAACUGAGACACGGUCCAGACUCCUACGGGAGGCAGCAGUGGGGAAUAUUGCGCAAUGGGGGAAACCCUGACGCAGCCAUGCCGCGUGUGUGAAGAAGGCCUUGGGUUGUAAAGCGACUUUCAAUGGGAGGAAGGGUAUACGUUAAUACCGUGUAUCUGUGACGUUACCUAUAGAAGAAGACACCGGCUAACUUACGUGCCAGCACG